Pecten maximus is the source of this 2120-nucleotide long non-coding RNA. RefSeq lists it as uncharacterized. NCBI's taxonomy places the organism in Eukaryota, Metazoa, Mollusca, Bivalvia, Pectinida, Pectinidae. The transcript is spliced from 2 exons. The record is from RefSeq and is a predicted model, not a curated record.
UGCUAAUAUUUUGUGGUUGUCACAAUCAGAUCUAGUUUGCAGAUAUAAAAUUUUAUGUAUUUACGCCCUGUAUAUUUUCUGCAGUAAAUACUUUUAUACAUUUGUUUGUAUAAAAUAUUUGAUGGGUAUUUAUUUUCGCACUUAUAUUUAAUGACAGCAAAUAUAGUGAAAUUGAAUCCCCGUAAUGUUAUUUACUAAAACAUUGUUGAUGUUAUUAAUAAUCUUGUUACUGUAAUAUGUGUUUUUAUUCUAAUGUUUUAUGCAAUAAACAAUGCAAUUAGGAGAGAAAGACAUCACAGAGAAUGUUUUUAUGUAUAGUACAUCAAAAGUGUGUCUGAGGUAGAGGAUGUCAAUCUCUAUGUAUACAUUAAUGGUGUAUCUGAGGUAGAGGAUGUUAUAUAGGUAUACAUUAAUGGUGUAUCUGAGGUAGAGGAUGUUACAUAGGUAUACAUUAAUGGUGUAUCUGAGGUAGAGGAUGUUACAUAGGUAUACAUUAAUGGUGUAUCUGAGGUAGAGGAUGUUAAUCUAUAGGUAUACAUUAAUGGUGUAUCUGAGGUAGAGGAUGUUAAUCUCUAGGUAUACAUUAAUGGUGUAUCUGAGGUAGAGGAUGUUAUAUAGGUAUACAUUAAUGGUGUAUCUGAGGUAGAGGAUGUUACAUAGGUAUACAUUAAUGGUGUAUCUGAGGUAGAGGAUGUUAAUCUCUAGGUAUACAUUAAUGGUGUAUCUGAGGUAGAGGAUGUUAAUCUAUAGGUAUACAUUAAUGGUGUAUCUGAGGUAGAGGAUGUUAUAUAGGUAUACAUUAAUGGUGUAUCUGAGGUAGAGGAUGUUAAUCUCUAGGUAUACAUUAAUGGUGUAUCUGAGGUAGAGGAUGUUAAUCUCUAUGUAUACAUUAGUGGUGUAUCUGAGGUAGAGGAUGUCAAUCUCUAUGUAUACAUUAAUGGUGUAUCUGAGGUAGAGGAUGUUACAUAGGUAUACAUUAAUGGUGUAUCUGAGGUAGAGGAUGUCAAUCUCUAUGUAUACAUUAAUGGUGUAUCUGAGGUAGAGGAUGUUUAUCUCUAUGUAUACAUUAAUGGUGUAUCUGAGGUAGAGGAUGUUAUAUAGGUAUACAUUAAUGGUGUAUCUGAGGUAGAGGAUGUCAAUCUCUAUGUAUACAUUAAUGGUGUAUCUGAGGUAGAGGAUGUUAAUCUCUAGGUAUACAUUAAUGGUGUAUCUGAGGUAGAGGAUGUUUAUCUCUAGGUAUACAUUAAUGGUGUAUCUGAGGUAGAGGAUGUUUAUCUCUAGGUAAACAUUAAUGGUGUAUCUGAGGUAGAGGAUGUUAAUAUGUAGUAUUCCUGAAAGAGAGGUAUACAGUUAAGAAGAGUCAGUGUAACCAUGGUAAUUGUAUUUAAUCAACAAUUCACAAAGUUGUUGUUACAAUUUUACCACGGAAAUGUGAGGUAUGAACUCUGACAUUGAUUCAGUGUUACAGAGAAAUUAUAUUGUGCUACUGCUAUGUGACCAUUCUGAAUGGUCACAUAGCGGUAGCACGAUAUAAUUUCAGGUGAAUGAUUCAUAUGUUUCCUAAGGAUUGAGAGUGCUAUUAACUGUUUGUCAUAUCAUUAGUGGUGAGGAAAAUCUUGUUAUAUAAUAUCACUUUCAAGUUUCAUAACUAUGAAGAUUUGUUAUAUGUUGCAUAAUAUUUGUUUUCACAAUAGAUAUGAUUUUCAACAUUGAAUUAAUUUUAUAUCCCUGUAUUUUAAUGAAAGGUUGGGCAAAGCAACAGAAAUAUAGGGUUUCAUGAAAUCACCUAGGUAAACAGACAAGGUAAUGUUCCAGUUAGAAUGUGCUUGUCUUGUACAUGUAGGGUCAAAGUUUGUAGGAAUAUACAUUUUUAGUGUUUUCAACUAUUUUUAUAUGAAAUUAAGUUUCAAACGUACUGACAAAUAAAAUCUUACACUCCUGUCUUGAUAAUGGCAAAUCCAAGAAGUGAUUGAGGUGCUAUUCAUUAAAAUGCUCAUGAAAUAACUGUUGAUUAUUUAUUACCGUGUUUGACUUAAUACCAAGUAAACUGUACAAAAAAACAAAAUUGGGUGUGCUUAAUUAAAGCAUGUAAAGGGAAAAGUUUCCAUGUGAAACCUGGU